CACCUACGGGACGCAGCAGUGGGGAAUAUUGCACAAUGGGCGCAAGCCUGAUGCAGCCAUGCCGCGUGUAUGAAGAAGGCCUUCGGGUUGUAAAGUACUUGAAGCGGGGAGGAAGGGAGCAAAGUUAAUACCUUUGCUCAUUGACGUUACCCGCAGAAGAAGCACCGGCUAACUCCGUGCCAGCAGCCGCGGCAAUACGGAGGGUGCAAGCGUCAAUCGGAAUUACUGGGCGUAAAGCGC
This 240-nucleotide ribosomal RNA is filed under the name uncultured bacterium. RNAcentral describes it as "partial 16S ribosomal RNA". It matches the Rfam family "Bacterial small subunit ribosomal RNA", at positions 335 to 568 of the family's 1533-position model. The record is from RNAcentral.